Molecule: transfer RNA, 72 nt
Filed under: Puccinia coronata f. sp. avenae
Lineage: Eukaryota; Fungi; Basidiomycota; Pucciniomycetes; Pucciniales; Pucciniaceae
Rfam family: tRNA
About the family: Transfer RNA (tRNA) molecules are approximately 80 nucleotides in length. Their secondary structure includes four short double-helical elements and three loops (D, anti-codon, and T loops).
Source: Rfam by way of RNAcentral
GCAUCCUUAGUACAGUGGUUAGUACACUUGACAUGGAUUUAAGUGACGUGGGUUCGACUCCCACAGGACACA